CAGAAUCUAGGGUAAACUUCCUGUGGGUUAUAAGGGAAAAAGAAUCAGAGUUGGGAGAUGGGUUUGAAGAGAGGGUGAAGGAAAGAGGAAUUAUAGUGAGGGAUUGGGUGGAUCAAAUGGAGAUAUUAAUGCACCCAAGUAUACAAGGGUUCUUGAGCCACUGUGGAUGGAACUCAGUACUAGAGAGCAUAUGUGCAGGAGUGCCAAUUCUUGCAUGGCCCAUGAUGGCAGAGCAGCACUUAAAUGCAAGAAUGGUGGUGGAGGAGAUAAAAAUAGGGUUGAGAGUAGAAACCUGUAAUGGAUCAGUGAGAGGGUUUGUGAAAUGGGAAGGUUUAGAAAAGAUGGUGAAGGAGUUGAUGGAAGGAGAGAUGGGGAAGAAGGUAAGAAAAAAGGUGAACGAGUUUGCAGAGAUGGCCAAGAAAGCUAUGGAGGAAGGUACUGGCUCAUCCUGGCGCACGUUAGACAUUCCUCUUCAGGAGUUUUGCCGUAGCAAAGAUGACGUGAAUGAGAAUG
This 513-nucleotide unclassified non-coding RNA is filed under the name Hevea brasiliensis (rubber tree). The record is from RNAcentral. Lineage: Eukaryota; Viridiplantae; Streptophyta; Magnoliopsida; Malpighiales; Euphorbiaceae.